GUGGUAGCUGAGUUUGUAAAGCGCUUAUAGUUAUUUACUCGGUACAGAAUAUCGAUGGUUCGAAUCCAUCCCGGAACA
This 78-nucleotide transfer RNA is filed under the name Rhamnusium bicolor. Its description in RNAcentral is "tRNA-OTHER". Lineage: Eukaryota; Metazoa; Arthropoda; Insecta; Coleoptera; Cerambycidae. The record is from RNAcentral.